Molecule: ribosomal RNA, 253 nt
Filed under: uncultured bacterium
Lineage: Bacteria
Description: partial 16S ribosomal RNA
Rfam family: Bacterial small subunit ribosomal RNA
Source: RNAcentral
UACGAAGGGGGCUAGCGUUGUUCGGAUUUACUGGGCGUAAAGCGCACGUAGGCGGAUCGUUAAGUCGGGGGUGAAAUCCUGGAGCUCAACUCCAGAACUGCCUUCGAUACUGGCGAUCUCGAGUCCGGAAGAGGUGAGUGGAACUCCUAGUGUAGAGGUGGAAUUCGUAGAUAUUAGGAAGAACACCAGUGGCGAAGGCGACGCACUGGUCCGAUACUGACGCUGAGGUGCGAAAGCGUGGGGAGCAAACAGG